UUUCAGAGAUGAGAAUGUGCCUUCGGGAACCGUGAGACAGGUGCUGCAUGGCUGUCGUCAGCUCGUGUUGUGAAAUGUUGGGUUAAGUCCCGCAACGAGCGCAACCCUUAUCCUUUGUUGCCAGCGGUCCGGCCGGGAACUCAAAGGAGACUGCCAGUGAUAAACUGGAGGAAGGUGGGGAUGACGUCAAGUCAUCAUGGCCCUUACGACCAGGGCUACACACGUGCUACAAUGGCGCAUACAAAGAGAAGCGACCUCGCGAGAGCAAGCGGACCUCAUAAAGUGCGUCGUAGUCCGGAUUGGAGUCUGCAACUCGACUCCAUGAAGUCGGAAUCGCUAGUAAUCGUGGAUCAGAAUGCCACGGUGAAUACGUUCCCGGGCCUUGUACACACCGCCCGUCACACCAUGGGAGUGGGUUGCAAAAGAAGUAGGUAGCUUAACCUUCGGGAGGGCGCUUACCACUUUGUGAUUCAUGACUGGGGUGAAGUCGUAACAAGGUAACCGUAGGGGAACCUGCGGUUGGAUCACCUCCUUA
RNAcentral lists this ribosomal RNA (535 nucleotides) under Escherichia coli. RNAcentral's name for it is "partial 16S ribosomal RNA". It matches the Rfam family "Bacterial small subunit ribosomal RNA", at positions 998 to 1533 of the family's 1533-position model. RNAcentral also lists the same sequence under 3 other names. The record is from RNAcentral. Lineage: Bacteria; Pseudomonadati; Pseudomonadota; Gammaproteobacteria; Enterobacterales; Enterobacteriaceae.